GUCACACCCGUUCCCAUUCCGAACACGGAAGUUAAGCUCUUCAGCGCCGAUGGUAGUUGGGACCUUGUCCCUGUGAGAGUAGGACGUCGCUAGGC
Molecule: ribosomal RNA, 95 nt
Filed under: Bacillus sp. 165
Lineage: Bacteria; Bacillati; Bacillota; Bacilli; Caryophanales; Bacillaceae
Source: RNAcentral